Molecule: ribosomal RNA, 255 nt
Filed under: uncultured bacterium
Lineage: Bacteria
Description: partial 16S ribosomal RNA
Rfam family: Bacterial small subunit ribosomal RNA
Source: RNAcentral
UACGGAGGGUGCGAGCGUUGUCCGGAAUCAUUGGGCGUAAAGGGCGCGUAGGUGGCCCCUCAAGCGUGCGGUGAAAGUCAGGGGCUCAACCCCUGAUCGGCCGUGCGAACUGGGGAGCUUGAGCACUGUAGAGGCAGGCGGAAUUCCGGGUGUAGCGGUGGAAUGCGUGAGAGUCGCGAAGAACACCGGUGGCGAAGGCGGCCUGCUGGGCAGUUUUGCUGACACUGAGGCGCGACAGCGUGGGGAGCAAACAGG